Long non-coding RNA from Dunckerocampus dactyliophorus (ringed pipefish), 1715 nucleotides. RefSeq lists it as uncharacterized. Lineage: Eukaryota; Metazoa; Chordata; Actinopteri; Syngnathiformes; Syngnathidae. The record is from RefSeq and is a predicted model, not a curated record. The transcript has 4 exons.
ACACCCAUGCGUGUAGCUGCGAGGCGACAGAGGAGUGUGUCCAAGCUCUGCCGCUGGUCAGGGGCUGGGUUGCAGCAGCUUUCAGACUCGCAUUGCACGGCGAUAUGGAGGAGUUCCACUCCUGUUCGCUCACACAGCGGAUACUUUAUCUUCAUUGAACACUUGUAGACUGUUAACCCGAAAGUUCAUUCUAUGCAAACAGUUUGAGUAAAUACCACUUUUAAAAAUGAGUUUUAUCACAUUACUUAAACAGUAUGAGUAUAUGAAGAGUGUAUGAGACAGUCAUUGGGUGUACUCAUUUUUUGUAAGUUGACCAAACUUAAACUAUCAAGUUUUAGUCUCAGGUCACAGUGCUGCCCUGUUGUGAUUGGCUCAAAACUCAAGACAAGUCUGGGCUUGUCCGUUGGAGGUUACAGAGAAAGUUGUGCCAUUUUCCAAUUUUCACAGAGCAAUUUAAGGUCAUUGCACUUUGCAUGUUCCUUGGACAAUACAUUUCUGCCUGCAUUCUUCUGUUUUUAGCAAGUUUGGAUGCUUUUAAAGGACAUUUGCCUGCCAUAAAGAGGAUACCAUUUUCUGCCUGAAUGAGGUGUACUUGGAGUUGAACAGGGUUGCUGGUAGAAAUCUUAAAGAAGAGUUCUUUGGGGUUCUUGAUGGUUUGUGUCCAAGCUUGAUGGAAAUCUUCAAGAGGAAGACAGGUCGGACAGGCAAGCAGUUAGCUGACCUGCUACAACAAACAACCAGCACUGAGCCAACAGCCAUUAGAUGCCUUGUCCUGAGAGGACUUCCAGUCAUUCUUGGGGAAGAUGCAUCUAUGUUCUUUAAGAGCAGUUUGUGCACCUCAGCCGGCGUGGGCGGAGACGCCGGAGCGCACCUGCGGGCAAUCAGCAAUCUGGACUCCUCUUAAGCAAGGCAGCAGCAUCUGUUCAGUGCCAGAUUGUACUUCCUGACCUCCUGUUCCUUGCUCCCGCUCAGUCCGGCUCCAUUACCCUUACCCUGCUUUGUGGCCUGUUACCUGUGCUUAUACUUACCUGCUCUGUACUACCUUAGCGUUUCCUGUUGGUUUGCCUUCAGUGUUUUUUGUUACUACUUCUAGUUUUUUCCUGACAGCCUUCUGCUGUCAGUGUUUUUUGUUUCUUACCCGUAGUGGAUUUUCCUUUGUUUGUACUUUGCCUGUUUGGACUCUUUUUGUUAUUAAACUUUAUUUUUGUAUUUCGAAGUUGCCCUAGUCUUGCGUUGGGAUCCUAUUUUCCUGCUGUGGCAUCCGCCACUCCUGACAUUUCCUGUUAGCAAGAGGAAAUUAAUUACUGCAUUUUGUACUGCAAAUUAUGUAAAAAUUCAAAGGGCUUGGAUAGUGUCUUGAUUCUGCAAAAACAAAAAACCUAAUCCACUGCGGGGCUGCUGCUGGAACUUCCAGUCAAUGCGUAGCUUGUGGCGGCUCCACUGAAUGAACAAACAAUCCAAACAUCUCCAAUGUAUUUCUAAUAUUGCCUUUAUUGAUCUACACACACUUAUCCCAAUAAUAACUUGAAUAGAGAAUAAACAAAAAGGCUCAAAUUAGGCCACGAAUACUCCGGUCAAAAAACUGUGUUCCUCUCCCUGAUCAGAAGAGUCACACUGUCCAAUACACCAACUACUGUCAAAAUAUGGGAUCUACACCAAAACAGACACCUAUACAUGAACACACAAAAAAUGACUAACAGCUAGUUUACACAACA